RNAcentral lists this long non-coding RNA (335 nucleotides) under Ananas comosus (pineapple). RNAcentral's name for it is "long non-coding RNA (ACOM_LNC042280)". The record is from RNAcentral. Lineage: Eukaryota; Viridiplantae; Streptophyta; Magnoliopsida; Poales; Bromeliaceae.
CGCGCGAAAGUCCCUCCAAACUCGGUAUUUUAAUCCGAGUCCCUCACAGCACGUGCAAAACGCGCUAAAACACCUCCACCUGCAAUAUCACGCAAAACGGUACAUAAAAUAUCGCGACUUUUGCGAAAUUAUCGUUUUGCCACUACCGACCUCUCCUCGAUCAACGCGCAAUCUCUGCAGAUCCGUCCGUCAUAUUUGCGAACGGAUUGCACCAGUGUGAUUAGCACCUCGGAGACAACAAAGCUACGAUUUCGAUUCACCUCGAACGACCACGGAUUCACGACAAAAUCCAAUCUUUCAUUCCAAUAGAAGGAAUAACACAUAAAUACAUAUAA